Molecule: ribosomal RNA, 347 nt
Filed under: Mycobacterium sp. CT-31
Lineage: Bacteria; Bacillati; Actinomycetota; Actinomycetes; Mycobacteriales; Mycobacteriaceae
Description: bacterial SSU rRNA
Rfam family: Bacterial small subunit ribosomal RNA
Source: RNAcentral
AAUACCGAAUACACCCUGCUGGCUGCAUGGUCUGGUUGGGGAAAGCUUUUGCGGUGUGGGAUGGGCCCGCGGCCUAUCAGCUUGUUGGUGAGGUUACGGCUCACCAAGGCGACGACGGGUAGCCGGCCUGAGAGGGUGACCGGCCACACUGGGACUGAGAUACGGCCCAGACUCCUACGGGAGGCAGCAAUGGGGAAUAUUGCACAAUGGGCGCAAGCCUGAUGCACCGACGCCGCGUGAGGGAUGACGGCCUUCGGGUUGUAAACCUCUUUCACCAGGGACGAAGCGCAAGUGACGGUACCUAUAGAAAAAGGACCGGCCAACUACGUGCCAGCAGCCGCGGUAAU